AGUGAACGCUGGCGGUAGGCUUAACACAUGCAAGUCGAACGGCAGCACAGUAAGAGCUUGCUCUUACGGGUGGCGAGUGGCGGACGGGUGAGGAAUACAUCGGAAUCUACUUUUUCGUGGGGGAUAACGUAGGGAAACUUACGCUAAUACCGCAUACGACCUACGGGUGAAAGCAGGGGAUCUUCGGACCUUGCGCGAUUGAAUGAGCGGAUGUCGGAUUAGCUAGUUGGCGGGGUAAAGGCCCACCAAGGCGACGAUCCGUAGCUGGUCUGAGAGGAUGAUAGGCCACACUGGAACUGAGCCACGGUCCAGACUCCUACGGGAGGCAGCAGUGGGGAAUGUUGGACAAAGGGCGCAAGCCUGAUCCAGCCAUACCGCGUGGGUGAAGAAGGCCUUCGGGUUGUAAAGCCCUUUUGUUGGGAAAGAAAAGCAGCAGGUUAAUACCCCGCUGUUCUGACGGUACCCAAAGAAUAAGCACCGGCUAACUUCGUG
Molecule: ribosomal RNA, 492 nt
Filed under: uncultured bacterium
Lineage: Bacteria
Description: partial 16S ribosomal RNA
Rfam family: Bacterial small subunit ribosomal RNA
Source: RNAcentral